Molecule: ribosomal RNA, 2025 nt
Filed under: Triticum aestivum (bread wheat)
Lineage: Eukaryota; Viridiplantae; Streptophyta; Magnoliopsida; Poales; Poaceae
Description: partial small subunit ribosomal RNA
Source: RNAcentral
AUGGCGCCCUCCGAUUUCUCCUUCCACCCCUCCGCCCUGAUGGGCUCAAACGCCGCCGGAUCCACCUCCCGGUUCCCCGACUGGGCCCUGCUCUGCGAGGAGCCGCGUCUCUCGGAGCGCCGGAACGAGACCACCGCCGAGUGCGAGACCAGCGAGGGCCAAUCCGUGGAGGUCUCCUUCUGGCUCGUCGACCCGCCCGGCGCCUCCUACUUCUCCUUCAACUGCCCCGGCCUCCACGCCUCCGCCUUCGACGACUACGCGCCGCCCUCCCUCGUCUGCGCCGGGGCCGCCUUCGUCCUCUUCAGCCUCACAAUCAGGGGCUCCACCCACCACUUCGUCUACAAAGCCGCCCCCGCAGGGGAGCAGUCACUGCAACUGCUCCCGGACCCUCCAGUCCCCAGAAGACGGCGGUUCGGCCUCUUGCCCCGCGGCGACGGCGAGCACUUCGCCGUGGCCUACCUCGACCGCCAGUGGAUCUCCCAGGACGACGAUUGGCGGUUUGAUGCGCACGUCUAUUCGUCUGAAACGCAGGAGUGGAGCAGCCACAGGUUGUCGUUGCAGCACUUAUCCGAGUCUGACAAGCUCAUGUGUUGUCACCAUAGCUUGUACUACAGGCAUAUCGCCGUUGCAGGCUCACUGGGCUGGGUUGAUCUCCUGCGUGGUGUCCUCCUCCUUGGGAACCUGUUUGACGGGGAUCCUGUCAUCGAAUUCAUCCCAUUGCCCGAAUCAAGGGUUAACUUUCUCGACAAGGAUGGUCUUCCUUACCGUGCCUCGGAGUAUUACUGCAACGUGGCCUGCUGUGAUGAUCUCCUCAAAUUCAUCGAGAUAGAAUUUGACGACCCUCUUGUCAGGACCAACCGUAAAGGUUGGAGAGCCAAUGUGUGGAACAGGAAGAUCUCUUGGAACAAGUGGGAGCUCUGCUCCACAGUUGAUGUUGCUAAAAUCUCAGUGGACCAAAGUUAUUCUGUUUUAUUGCCUCAACUGCGGAGUGACGAGACCCAAAAACUGGACUUGCAGAAACUGAUUUUCUAUGCCCCAGUGCUGAGCACCCGUGAUGACAAUCUUUUUUACAUGAUGGCCAAGGUGAAUGCUGAAGACGAGACUGCCUGGGCCAUCGCAGUUGACAUGGAAUGUGCAGCUGUGGAAGCAAUGGCCCCGAUUACUCUUGGACAGGACCACUACCACAUUGCAAUGUUCUGUCCAUGCGACCUCCCCAAGUACCUCAACAUGACCCCAGGGGCAGACAUGGAUAAUCCAGCGGACAAGUGCUCUAAGCGGAUGCCUGUUGCCAGGUGGAGUGCGAAGCAGUGUGUGGUGCAAGUGCUGUGGACUCUAGACUGGCUUCGAGAACUUGAUCAAUGCUUGGAAAUUGAGAGGUCAACUUACUACGCAUGCAGAUUAUUACUUCAGUUUUCUCCAGUAUCAUCUCUGCGUUCCAGUAUCAGACCAAUGGUAAAAUAUGCUUCCUAUAAUGGUCAAGAUGAAGCUGCAUCAAAGGCUGUGGAUUUUUGCCUAAGAGCUUUGGAAGAUUUUGAUUUGGCUCUACACGGAUCACCGAGUGAUCCAUCAGCAUCUGUUGAAGCCAUGCGUAGCAAAAUCAGCGAUGUCAUUCAAGCUUUGGACAACGUCAUGCAAAUUGUGCCAUCAACACUGAUACAAAAAGAAAGGUUGCUUGGAGAUGCCAGCGGCCAAAAAAGAUCAAAGGCAACAUUUGAAACUUGUGAGAAGCCAAUCGAGACAAAGAAUACAGCCCAUGGGUGGCUGCAAGUGAGAUUCAAGCCCAUUCAUCAGGAGAGGUAUCAAUGUCGCAGGGGAUGGGGGAAAGCUAGCCAUGAACAACGAGCUGUGGUCGAUGCAAAGGAUACACCUGGCAAGUGGGAGCAAGGGAAAUUCAAGCCCAGUAAUUCUCGAAGGGGAAAGGCGGUGGUCCUGGGUGUCUGGUUGUUGCCUCUCUGCUUGCUGAUAUCGAUGGUCGUGGUUAUGUCAUCUUCCCGCCAUUAUGUAACGGAGCCGGUAUCUUACUGA